Molecule: small nucleolar RNA, 89 nt
Organism: Salvia splendens (bonfire salvia)
Lineage: Eukaryota; Viridiplantae; Streptophyta; Magnoliopsida; Lamiales; Lamiaceae
Product: small nucleolar RNA U31b
Exons: 1
Source: RefSeq, a predicted model, not a curated record
GAAUAUGAUGAAUCAUAUUGUCGCCCCAGGCUUAAUUUGCAUCAAAAAAUUAGAUGCAACGUGGUGAUUGACAAUUCAAAUUCUGAUUC